This 355-nucleotide unclassified non-coding RNA is filed under the name Hevea brasiliensis (rubber tree). The record is from RNAcentral. Lineage: Eukaryota; Viridiplantae; Streptophyta; Magnoliopsida; Malpighiales; Euphorbiaceae.
AAAAGUUGUUCCUCUGUCAAAAGAUGCCCUUCAGGAUUUCAUGGUUACAAUCAUAACACAGAAAUUACAGGACGAUAAACAACCCUUUUAUGUUCUAGAUUUGGGUGAAGUUGUUUCCCUUAUGGAACAAUGGAACUCUGCUUUACCAAAUAUCCGUCCGUUUUAUGCUAUUAAAUGUAACCCUGAACCUUCAUUUCUCUCCAUGUUGUCUGCUAUGGGUUCCAAUUUUGAUUGUGCUAGCCGUGCUGAAAUUGAGUAUGUUUUGUCUCAUGGUAUCUCGCCGGACCGGAUUGUUUUCGCUAACCCUUGUAAGCCGGAAUCCGAUAUUAUCUUCGCCGAGAAAAUUGGGGUUAAU